Molecule: ribosomal RNA, 253 nt
Filed under: uncultured bacterium
Lineage: Bacteria
Description: partial 16S ribosomal RNA
Rfam family: Bacterial small subunit ribosomal RNA
Source: RNAcentral
UACAGAGGGUGCGAGCGUUGUCCGGAAUCACUGGGCGUAAAGGGCGCGUAGGUGGCGAGCCAAGUCCAUGGUGAAAGCUCGAUGCUCAACAUCGAGUCGGCCACGGAUACUGGUGCGCUUGAGCACUGUAGAGGCUAAUGGAAUUCCGGGUGUAGCGGUGGAAUGCGUAGAGAUCCGGAAGAACACCGGUGGCGAAGGCAGCUCGCUGGGACGGUACUGACGCUGAGGCGCGAAAGCGUGGGGAGCAAACAGG